UACGGAGGGUGCAAGCGUUAAUCGGAAUUACUGGGCGUAAAGCGCACGCAGGCGGUCUGUCAAGUCGGAUGUGAAAUCCCCGGGCUCAACCUGGGAACUGCAUUCGAAACUGGCAGGCUAGAGUCUUGUAGAGGGGGGUAGAAUUCCAGGUGUAGCGGUGAAAUGCGUAGAGAUCUGGAGGAAUACCGGUGGCGAAGGCGGCCCCCUGGACAAAGACUGACGCUCAGGUGCGAAAGCGUGGGGAGCAAACAGGAUUAGAUACCCUGGUAGUCCACGCUGUAAACGAUGUCGAUUUGGAGGGUGUGCCCUUGAGGCGUGGCUUCCGGAGCUAACGCGUUAAAGCGACCGCCUGGGGAGUACGGCCGCAAGGUUAAA
RNAcentral lists this ribosomal RNA (375 nucleotides) under uncultured bacterium. RNAcentral describes it as "bacterial SSU rRNA". It matches the Rfam family "Bacterial small subunit ribosomal RNA", at positions 524 to 898 of the family's 1533-position model. The record is from RNAcentral.